GCUGGGCGUGGUGGCAGGUGCCUGUAAUCCCAGCUACUCAGGAGGCUGAGGCAGGAGAAUCGCUUGAACCUGGGAGGUGGAGGUUGCAGUGAGCCAAGAUCGCGCCAUUGCACUCCAGCCUGGGCAACAGAGCAAGACUCCGUGUCAAAAACAAAAAAGUAUAUAUAUAUAUAUUUUUAUUAUUUAUUUAUUUGUUUAUUUAUUUGAGAAGGAGUGUCGCUCUGUCAUCCAGGCUGGAGUGCAGUGGCACGAUCUCGGCUCACUGGAACCUCCGCCUCCUGGUUCACGCCAUUCUCCUGCCUCA
RNAcentral lists this small RNA (304 nucleotides) under Pan troglodytes (chimpanzee). The record is from RNAcentral. Lineage: Eukaryota; Metazoa; Chordata; Mammalia; Primates; Hominidae.